This 739-nucleotide ribosomal RNA is filed under the name uncultured bacterium. Its description in RNAcentral is "bacterial SSU rRNA". It matches the Rfam family "Bacterial small subunit ribosomal RNA", at positions 8 to 796 of the family's 1533-position model. The record is from RNAcentral.
AGAGUUUGAUCCUGGCUCAGAACGAACGCUGGCGGCAGGCUUAACACAUGCAAGUCGAGCGCCCCGCAAGGGGAGCGGCAGACGGGUGAGUAACGCGUGGGAACGUACCAUUUGCUACGGAAUAACUCAGGGAAACUUGUGCUAAUACCGUAUGUGCCCGAAAGGGGAAAGAUUUAUCGGCAAAUGAUCGGCCCGCGUUGGAUUAGCUAGUUGGUGGGGUAAAGGCCUACCAAGGCGACGAUCCAUAGCUGGUCUGAGAGGAUGAUCAGCCACACUGGGACUGAGACACGGCCCAGACUCCUACGGGAGGCAGCAGUGGGGAAUAUUGGACAAUGGGCGCAAGCCUGAUCCAGCCAUGCCGCGUGAGUGAUGAAGGCCCUAGGGUUGUAAAGCUCUUUCACCGGUGAAGAUAAUGACGGUAACCGGAGAAGAAGCCCCGGCUAACUUCGUGCCAGCAGCCGCGGUAAUACGAAGGGGGCUAGCGUUGUUCGGAUUUACUGGGCGUAAAGCGCACGUAGGCGGGCUAAUAAGUCAGGGGUGAAAUCCCGGGGCUCAACCCCGGAACUGCCUUUGAUACUGUUAGUCUUGAGUAUGGUAGAGGUGAGUGGAAUUCCGAGUGUAGAGGUGAAAUUCGUAGAUAUUCGGAGGAACACCAGUGGCGAAGGCGGCUCACUGGACCAUUACUGACGCUGAGGUGCGAAAGCGUGGGGAGCAACAGGAUUAGAUACCCNNGUAGUCC